ACGCUCGACACCUACGGGAGGUAGCAGUGGGGAAUAUUGCACAAUGGGGGAAACCCUGAUGCAGCGACGCCGCGUGGAGGAAGAAGGUCUUCGGAUUGUAAACUCCUGUUGUUGGGGAAAAAGAGGAUGGUACCCAACAAGGAAGUGACGGCUAACUACGUGCCAGCAGCCGCGGUAAUCUGAGCGGGCUGGCAAGGC
RNAcentral lists this ribosomal RNA (198 nucleotides) under uncultured bacterium. Its description in RNAcentral is "partial 16S ribosomal RNA". It matches the Rfam family "Bacterial small subunit ribosomal RNA", at positions 328 to 539 of the family's 1533-position model. The record is from RNAcentral.